AAAAAUGUGAUAUAUCUAUAAAUGUAAUAUUAUGCUGCAUAAUAUCAUAGACACAAAAGGCCACAUAUUGUAUGAUUUUUAUUUUAAAUGAAAUGUCCAGAACAGGCAAAUCCUUAGAGAUAAAAAGUAGAUUAGUGGUGGCCAGUGGCUGAGAGGAGACUGAGUAGGGAGUGAAGGCUAAUGAAUAACGGGCUUUCUUUGAAGAUGAUAAAAUUUUUCUGAAAUUAGAUAGUGGUGAUGGCUGUAAAACUUUGUGACUGUACUAAAAGCUACUGAAUUUUAUAUUUCAAAAGGGUGAAUUUUAUGGUGUGUGAAUUAUAUCUCAAUAAAAAAAAUAAAAGAUAUACUCUCGGUAUCAAAUGGUUUUUAACAUAAAGGUUGCAUUACCACAUAGAUGACUCUGAGAUGUAUCUCCCGAAUACUGAAUAAGUUUUCAAAAGAAACGAAACCAUUAAAAGAUUCAAUAAUCGACUAAAACUUUGAGCUGUUUUUCCUUCCAUGUAGGUAGCCUCAUUUUUCAGCCAAUUAAAGCAAGUAAACCUGAACUGAAACCACACAGAUUCACAGGGUCCGUGGAGAGCAAGUCUAUGAAGCUGCGCUGGCGGUCUCAGGCCUUCCCGUCUGGUUUCUGGGACUUUCCUGCCCUUUUGUUUCAGGCGCCCUGCAGCUCACAGGUGCCUUGUGAAGUUUUGCACCACGCUUCCUCCUCACUGCUUCUGAGAAGCUCACCCAGAGCUUGCAAGGUGGGGUCCCUAUCCCAACUGCCGUCAGUUCAAUCUGAGGAAUGAGGCUCUCAAGAGAAACUUCAGGCCUCAGGUCCAGGCGAGUGGGGAGACAUCCUUAGACAGCAGGCCGACUCCUUGAUCACGUCAGGGACGGCACAGAGGGGACACCUCACACAGGACCCACUCUUAGUCCUUAGCAUAGCUUCUGGCCUAUCUGUCAGCAAAAGUCGGCCGUGCCCCUAGGAGGAGUCUCCAGAAGGUUAAAUUGUAUGUAAAAAUCCAGAAGGAACUUUGGAUGGCUCAGUGAGUAUUUCCCAUGUUAAGUCAAAUGCUAUUUAAUACGUUUUAGUUUCAACUCAGCUGAGUUUCACAUCGUUAUGAAUGACAAAUUUAAGAUAAGGAUCCCAUGCUGUCCGCACAAUCAUCCCUUUAGCUAGAGAGUGAGGCCCCACUAUAGGGUCAACCUUCUGUCCCUCCCUCCCUCUGCUUUUAAGAUGUUUUCUGCCUAGAAGGCUCCUCAGACGCUUGUGCAUCUGGUCUCCUAGGAGGAGACCCAGCCUCGCAUUUGCCGGCAGGGGCAGAAGUACGCUUGAGGCCCCCGCCCUCCAACCCACGCCUGCCCCUGUUGUUUCCUCAUCAUCUUUUCGGUCUUGCAACUUGAGGGACCUCGUGCACACUCCUGGGUAUGUGGACAUCCCAGCUCAAAUGUAGGAGGCCUGCAAAGAGCUGCCCUUGGCCACUGUCAGGCUAGGGAUGCAGGGAAUAGCUGUGAUGCUGAGACUUGAAGAGGCCCAGGCAGGUUCUAGAAGCAGGCUGGCACUUUGAGGAAGGAAAUGUCAGGGUUCAGGGUAUCCAAGGCAGGGACUGGAGGAAGUGCACUGGUUCCAGGUGGCCAUUCCCCCUUGGCUUCGCGGACUGCUCUUAACUAAAGCUUGGGCCUCAGGCUGGGGCCCCCUUUGCCUGGUUCUAAGGGCGGAACUGCCUGGAGCUCCCCUGCCACAGUCUUCCAGGCACACGCAGCCACCAAGGACAUCUUACCUCUGCCAGGAAUCCCAGCUUAGUCUUAAACCACCUUUUUACCCACACCCCUUUCUCCAUAAUACAGCACUCACACCUUAUACGCAUCUAUAAGGCAUGCAAAUAAGUGUAAUUCUCUUGUUAGAUGAAGGCAAGAAGUCCCUGCAAUCUAGAGUAAACCAGGCUAAGGUCCAGGUCUUGCAGAGACCAUGUAGAACACACACUCCUUCUUCCACACGGAAUUAUGAAACUCUGCUUCUCUCUCACCAGGACACUCAGCAGGACUCAAGAGUUUAAGGGAUUUUUCUCACUUUAUUGAGCUUCUAAAGUGGUUUUUAAUUCUAUGGGAAUGAUUUAGAAAUUGCUGUGAAAUGUAAUUGAUCUUCAUAAAUGUGCAUAUAAUAUAUUUUGCACUAACAAGCGUUGCAUUGUGAUUUGUUUGCACACGUGUGCCCUUCACUCCUGGAAUGCUGAGGAACGAUGUAUUAUUUUCACUUUUUAAAAAUUAACUCCUUUCUCAAAGGGAGAACAAUAGAAAGUUGCUGGAAAGAUAAUUUCUAGGAAGAAAGGUGAACUCAACCAUUUUUAUGAUUGUGUUUUUUCCUCUCGACAUUGUUUAGCAAAAGCCGGAGAACUUGUCUGUUACUCUCGCAGGACUUCUAAUUAGUCCUGGCCUCAUCUGUAUACACGUAAAGAGUAUUUAGGAUAAUCUUGCACUGCAUAUAAUUAAGCAGGGCUGUGUCCUGGUCUAUAAUCACCAGGGACUCCCUUCUGAGAAAAUGCGCUUCUUAUUUAACUGCCCAAUUUACUCCAUAGUGUGAUGCUGUCAAGGGCUACACCCUUCCCAGGUAAAUUAGUUUUCUCAGACAGACCAUAAAGCCUUGUCAGGGGAGGUGCCUCUUCCAAGAAGUCCUCCCUUUUCAUUUAUUCCGUAUGCAUUCCUCCAUCCUUCUCACCCUGUAAGUACUCAUCAAGACUGACGCCCUAAUUCUCAAGUCCCAGGGCAGAACCCCCACAGGUCUCUUGCUCAAAAAGCACGGCACAAAGCUUUCCUUUCUUUCUCUGUCUCUCUCUUGGCCUGUCGUGGUGUUUCUUAUUUGCUGUUUAACGUCACGCUCCCUGGAGCAUAAGGAUGCUAACAGGGUGAGCACAGACUCUCCUAGGUGCCUGGGCCUGCACAGCACUUGGUGCCUGGGGUCUGUGCACCCACUUUGACCCUCCCUGCACCCGCACCUGAGUCCAGGCCGCCUGCCCAGUGGCUGUGGGCAUUGGAUGGCAGCAGGGAGCAGGCAGUCAACAACCUGCAAGAGUUGGGGAGGCCAUGGGGGGCAUGACUAACCUCCUUCCCACGUGCCGUGCUCCAUUGUCCCUUUGGACUUCACUUACAAAACACUCAUUCAAAGAUAAAACUAUUAAGAAUUUCUGCCACAACUAGAAGGACCCAGAGCUAAGAUAUACAACUAUGUGCUGGGGGGAUUUGGGGAGAUAAAGCAGAAAGAAAAAAGAAAAAAAAAGAAUUUCAAGAGGUGACAGGAGCAUUAAGCCCCAAGCAUGGGGCCCUUCUGAGCCCAGGGCUGCACUGGUGGUCCGCACUUGCUACCUCUGUGGUAUCUUCUCUUCUCCAGUGUGGUGGUGGGCCCAGGAUAGACAGUUACAAGCACUUACUGAAAGCAGUCCUUUAACAGCAAGUUUCCCUGGUCAGUGGGAUGGAGGAGCAUUCUCCACGAGACUGUCUCCUGUAGGCGCUCCUACCACUGACCUGCCAGUGCCCACCAUCGAGGAAACCAGGGGUCUGGCCACGACAUUUAUCUGUAAUUUAUGCCAUUGUUCUGACUUCAGAAAGCACCACAACUUCUGUGCCAGGUUAACAUCCUCUGUCCUUAGCGGUCAUCAACGGCAUACAAGGUCGGCAGAAUGCCCAGCCACCUGCAUUGCCUAACGCAUGGCAGACUGCAUCUGUAUCCACCGGGCACAGCCAGGGGAUGCGAGAAGAGAAAGGGAUGGUUUCCAGCCUUAUUUCAAAUUUAUCUUGGCCCCUACUCCUCCAGCAGAUUUAAACGCUGUCCCUUUUGAGACACAAGUGUAUUUGCGUUGUUCCUCCAUGUCUUGAUUUUAUUACUUUUAUUUCUCUAUUUCCUGUUCACAUGUGCCUAUAUCAGAGUUUUCUACCCUCAUGUAUGAAUAUCAAGUCCUCAUUCCAUAGUUCAAUGACCCAUGCACUAAUAUGUGGUUUUGGAAACAACGUCGCUUUUCUCACCAAAAAAUUACACAUAUUACAGAAAAUCUAGAAAAUUUAGAACAGAAGAAAAUAAACAAUCACCAGAAUGGUAUCAUCAGAGAGAGUUAAUUUAGCAUUUUAGCACACGUAUUUUUGGCCUUCUUUAUACUUACACGUCUAUGGUGUCUAUAUUAUAGAGAUACUGUAAAUAUUUGCUUUUCAUCCACUUGAUAGUGUACCAUGAAUACUUGUCAUGCUGUUAAUUAUUAAUCUAAAACAUGAUUUUCAAACUUUCAGAUGCAUAAGAAUCACCUGGGAGCAUGUGGGAAACGAAGGUUCUAAGGGUCCUCACUCACAGAUCCGAACGCAUGAAUCUGAGAUGAGGACCAGAGAGCUGCCUGUUGAAAAGCAUCCCAGUGAUUCUGAUGCAGGCGCCUCCCGGCACUCACUCUGACAAACACCGUCCACAGCGCGAUUGUUAAUUGCCGCACUGUGUUUUAUUACAUAGACGUGCCAUAACUUAUUAAACCAAUCUGAUAUUGUUCAUUCAACUCUAGUUUCCAAAUUUUCAUCUGCAUGAUUAAUUCCUCAAUGAAUAACCUACUACAUAACUCUUUCUGAACCUCUCUGAUUAUUCGCUUACAAAGAUGCUACAAAGCGGAAUUACUGGGUCAAAGAGAAUGCAAACUUGAGAAAAGCAGAUGGUAUUUUGGGUAGAAAAACAACCUUCUAAGCUGUAAAGUAUUAGACUAAGAUGAAAGAUUUAACAGCUGCCGCUUUCUGAGAGACUUUCAUACACCAGGAUGGUGGUUCUCAAAAUUUAUCCCGCGUGGACUCACCUGGAGGGCUUAUAAAAACAGAUUGCUGUCGCUUCCUCCCUGCCCGCUCUGAUUCAGCAGGUGAGGUGGGGCUGGAAAGGUGCGUUUCUAACAAGUUCUCAGAUGCUGCUGAUGCUGCUGGUUUGGGGACCACACUUCGAGAACUAGACGCUAUCCCAGCUGUUUCAAGCAAGUUAUUUAAAUGCCCUGGCAGCCCUUUACAGGCGAGGGCUGAGACUCAGAGAGGGUCUGAGGCCAUGAAGCUAAUGAUGCCAGAGCCGGGCGCUCUGAUUCCAGGUUUGAUCAUUUAAUGGCUGAUGCUUUCCUACAAACAGCCUCGUUUCUUACUUCAUUUCACUGCCCACAGAUAAAAUAUUUUUUGAUGUCUUCAUAAUAAGCGCCAAAGGUUCCGGUGUAAACCGCAUCCCUCCCAAUCUCGUAGGGGUGGCUGGGCGAGGAGAGAGGUUUGGAAGUGUUGGCUGAGAAUUUUUUCAGGGGCAGCUGGUCCAAUGAGUGACACUCCACCAUUCACAUCAAUCGGAUGGGUUCCUUCCCCGCCCUCCAUGGCUUCACCGACAUGUGGACUUCCAGACAAUCACUUCUCAACAGUUACUGCAACCGGGUAAUACUUCUUCCUCAGAAGAGAGCUCUCUCUUCUCCAAAAACCACCUCCAGGCUGCUCCACACAAUGGCCCAAACAACCUGUUUGUUCAGGCAACUCAGAAAAUAAAUCAUAUCAGUGCGGAAAAACAAGGAACUCCUGUCAAACCUGCUGGUUAAUAAUACCCGGCAGAGCAAACAGCAGGGGCCUGGCAAACAAGGAGCCAGGAUGGCUUCUCCCACACUCAGGUUAAGAGAGGUGAGCGUUUCCGAACCCACGCCCAGCCUCGCCAGCCACGUGAGUCACACAUAUUUCACAACUGAAGAAAUUCGAAGACCUAAUUAUGCAAAAUUUCGCCUGUUUAUCAUCUCGGGCUUUUGUCACCCUGCUGCCUUGUAGUGUGUUGACAAUUGUGUGUCGAUUUUUUUUCUCCAUAUGUCAUUCAGUCUCCAUGUCUUGAUCCUGCGAUUUGAGGUCUUUGCUAGGCACUCUACAAAGAGAAAUGGAACGCCGGCUGUCUAAAACAUGUUUUGUGUGGCUUCUAGAUAGUUCCAUUGGAUGUGGGUGCCCGAGAACAAUCCAUCCUUCCUGCCCAAUUACAUAACUCAGAAGGCGUUACUCCUAUCUGUCUUAAGGCAAAUUCGGUCUGGGCUGCUUCAUCAUGUAAGACAAGGCAGUACAUCCAACAGCGACAUAAUUGGUCUUUCUGCAUGUGCUCUGAGCCCCCACGGCUUAUUGUUAACACAGCUACUAGAGUCAUCUUUCCAAAGCCAAAUUCAAGUCAUUCUUCCGGAUGUUUGGAUUAUUCUCCUGCUAACAUUUGGCCGAUUGGGUGAAUUUAAUACCUUCUGUCUAGCUGCUUUGUGCCAAAAAUUGUGUAGAAGUGACCAUAGUCAACAUGGGGGCGCCACCUGGUACCACGAGGAGCACACCAAGAAAGAGCAGCAACACUGAAGGACUGCGGGAGCCGGACGCUGGGAAUCUGCCGUCUUUCCCUGGACUGCCCACCUCGGCUCAGCUUUCACGUGAGAGAAAUAGAUUGUGUUCUCAUGUAAGCCACAGCCAUUUUGGAUUUUCCUGUUGUGCAGUCAAACCUAACCCUAAAUAAUGCACACCUGUGAUUUGAAAGCAUUUUAGCGCUUACAAAAACACCCUAUAUUACUUAUCUCAUUUCUUCAACAAUCCUAUACAAUGCAAGGAACAGGAACUAUCAUUCCCACUUUUCAGUCGAAGAAACUGACCUUUUAGGAAGUUAAAUGACUUGCACACGGUCAAACAACUAGUAAGUAGAGAGUCUGGAUCAAAGAGAAGUUCGAUAUCUUCGUACAACUAGUCCCACCUGUUGAGACAGGGAGACACAAGCCCGGUGCACGGUCCUGGAGUGAGACAGAUCUGACUGCAGAUUUUUCUGUCUGGCUCCUCUUGUCUUAGGCGAGUUAUCUACCUUUCGUGAUCCUCAUGUAAUUAUUUGCAAGGUGGGUAAACAAUACCUCUAGGGAUCAAACGCUCCGAAUGAGAUAAGGUUUGUGGAGCUCCUGGUCCAGGGUCUGAGAUACAGCAGAUGCUCAGUAAAUAGAGCUCUUAUGGUGGCAGAUGCUUAUCAUUCUAAAGGUUAUUCAGAUGUGGGAGCAAAGGAAUGGAGGGGAGAGACUCAAAGGCUGCUUCAUCUUGAAGUUCUGUAUGUCUGUAAAGAAUUUGAAAUAUUUUUCUUUCUUUCUGGUUCAAAAGAUCAGAUUAGUGGGCCUGGGAGUGGCUAAGUUUCUUGUGUCCUCUGAACAUCUUCAAGUUAUUUCUCCCUAUCUCCAUUUGGGGAGAGACGUCACAGAAAAAUGUUUUUUGCUUUCAAGCUUCUCACAAGACUCAAGAAGAUGGGAAAGCACCCAUUCCAAAGCAAUUUCUAAAUUUCCCUUAUAGAAGUGAAGCGGGAACUCCUAGAGUAGCAAGUUGAAUUUUGUUUCUCAAAUACAGUUUGCAUGCCCCCUUCAGACUCAACUAGAUGAGAAAAAUGUCCUUCAAGCCCCUCAGACCUUGAAGAAAGUCAUCCAGAUGCACCCUCUGACGUGCACCUGCAACCACAACGGGGAGCCACGAUGUUUCAGAAAUGUAUCAGCAGCAGAGAGCAUGUUGCUAUUCCCCACACAAUUCAUUUGACUUCAGCAACUUUUAAUAACACCAUCGGCUUGGUGCUAAACUGUGAAACGGAUUCCAUUUUUGUAAUAUUGUUAUUCCACGGCACAGUGCUGUUAGAAGCAGUCCCAGAAGCAAAGACAUCGUGCAGCAGCUGUGCAGAGCUGGCUUCUCAUCACAGCUGAACGCCAACAUGGGCGAAUCAAUGAGGAAGACACCCCCACUUCUGCGGACCUACAGCCGCCAGUUCCAAAGGCACAUAAAUAUCAAGCAUCCUGCAAGAGAAGUGACAUGGCAGCAGGGAGAAUGACAGUCAAGCCCUCCGUGGCCGGGAGCACAUAGAGUCCUGCAGGUGGCUGGCUGGUCAAGCUGGGUGAGUAGAGUUGAGUGAUGUCUGCUUCUGAGCCACGUUCCAGGACACUGCAUCCGAACAAGACCCUGGCUGCAUCGUGCACAUGUUAGAGAGGCCCUGGACUAGGCUGUUGGUUCUCAACCUGGCUAUUUUAAUAAGUCCCCUAGCUAGAGGACCCGUCUGCUUGCAGCUCACAUUGGUAUGAAAGUGGAGCCACCAAUUGGAUCGGGAAUUGCCAUCUCCACCACCGACAUGGGGCCCUAGAGUCACCAGCAUCACUCACUGGUCAGCUGAAACACAACGUUAGGAAGACUGUCACAGACCUGGCUCACUGCAAGGGUGAAGGGAGGCUGAUGUGACGAGUGAGACGCUCCCUGUGGGUGAGGGGAGCAGCCCCCUGCCCCCCAUGUCCUGGGAGGUGGAUCGAAUCGUCGAGGAGGAAUCUUGAGAGGGGUGCAAUUCAGGGGGCUGAGAGUUCCAACUUUUCCUCUCCUGUUUUAGGAAGUGCUUCUGAAAUGGUCC
Long non-coding RNA from Equus caballus (horse), 8380 nucleotides. The record is from Ensembl. Lineage: Eukaryota; Metazoa; Chordata; Mammalia; Perissodactyla; Equidae.